GAUGAACGCUAGCGGCAGGCCUAACACAUGCAAGUCGAGGGGCAGCACAGAAACAGCAAUGUUUUGGUGGCGACCGGCGGACGGGUGCGUAACGCGUAUGCAACCUACCUUUAACAGGGGGCUAACGGAGAGAAAUUUCUACUAAUACUCCAUAACAUCGAUCAAGGCAUCUUGAUUGGUUGAAAACUCCGGUGGUUAAAGAUGGGCAUGCGUUGUAUUAGGUAGUUGGCGAGGUAAUGGCUCACCAAGCCUACGAUACAUAGGGGGACUGAGAGGUUAGCCCCCCACACUGGUACUGAGACACGGACCAGACUCCUACGGGAGGCAGCAGUGAGGAAUAUUGGUCAAUGGGGGCAACCCUGAACCAGCCAUGCCGCGUGCAGGAAGACGGCUCUAUGAGUUGUAAACUGCUUUUAAACAUGGAUAAAGCACAGUAUGUAUACUGUGUUGAAGGUACUGUAAGAAUAAGGAUCGGCUAACUCCGUGCCAGCCGCCGCGGUAA
RNAcentral lists this ribosomal RNA (502 nucleotides) under uncultured bacterium. RNAcentral's name for it is "partial 16S ribosomal RNA". It matches the Rfam family "Bacterial small subunit ribosomal RNA", at positions 28 to 523 of the family's 1533-position model. The record is from RNAcentral.